CGCGGCCUAUCAGCUUGUUGGUGGGGUAAUGGCCUACCAAGGCGUCGACGGGUAGCUGGUCUGAGAGGAUGAUCAGCCACACUGGGACUGAGACACGGCCCAGACUCCUACGGGAGGCAGCAGUGGGGAAUCUUGCGCAAUGGGCGAAAGCCUGACGCAGCAACGCCGCGUGCGGGAAGAAGGCCUUCGGGUUGUAAACCGCUUUCAGCAGGAACGAAAAUGACGGUACCUGCAGAAGAAGGUGCGGCCAACUACGUGCCAGCAGCCGCGGUGACACGUAGGCACCAAGCGUUGUCCGGAUUUAUUGGGCGUAAAGAGCUCGUAGGCGGUUCAGUAAGUCGGGUGUGAAAACUCUGGGCUUAACCCAGAGCCGCCACCCGAUACUGCUGUGACUAGAGUCCGGUAGGGGAGUGGGGAAUUCCUAGUGUAGCGGUGAAAUGCGCAGAUAUUAGGAGGAACACCGGUGGCGAAGGCGCCACUCUGGGCCGGAACUGACGCUGAGGAGCGAAAGCGUGGGUAGCAAACAGGAUUAGAUACCCUGGUAGUCCACGCCGUAAACGUUGGGCACUAGGUGUGGGCCUCAACCAACGAGGUCCGUGCCGUCGCUAACGCAUUAAGUGCCCCGCCUGGGGAGUACGG
This 639-nucleotide ribosomal RNA is filed under the name uncultured bacterium. RNAcentral describes it as "bacterial SSU rRNA". It matches the Rfam family "Bacterial small subunit ribosomal RNA", at positions 232 to 885 of the family's 1533-position model. The record is from RNAcentral.